UACAGAGGUCUCGAGCGUUAGGCGGAAUCACUGGGCUUAAAGCGUGUGUAGGUGGAUGCCUAAGUACCUUGUGAAAUCCCACAGCUUAACUGUGGAACUGCUUGGUAUACUGGGUGUCUUGAGUCACUCAGGGGCGAGCGGAACAAAUGGUGGAGCGGUGGAAUGCGUAGAUAUCAUUUGGAACGCCAAUGGUGAAAACAGCUCGCUGGGGGUGCACUGACACUGAGACACGAAAGCCAGGGGAGCGAACGGG
RNAcentral lists this ribosomal RNA (253 nucleotides) under uncultured bacterium. RNAcentral's name for it is "partial 16S ribosomal RNA". It matches the Rfam family "Bacterial small subunit ribosomal RNA", at positions 524 to 776 of the family's 1533-position model. The record is from RNAcentral.